This 482-nucleotide ribosomal RNA is filed under the name uncultured bacterium. RNAcentral describes it as "partial 16S ribosomal RNA". It matches the Rfam family "Bacterial small subunit ribosomal RNA", at positions 30 to 507 of the family's 1533-position model. The record is from RNAcentral.
AUUGAACGCUGGCGGCAUGAUUUACACAUGCAAGUCGAACGGUAACAGGCCGCAAGGUGCUGACGAGUGGCGAACGGGUGAGUAAUGCAUCGGAACGUGCCCAGUCGUGGGGGAUAACUACUCGAAAGAGUAGCUAAUACCGCAUACGAUCUAUGGAUGAAAGCGGGGGACCGUAAGGCCUCGCGCGAUUGGAGCGGCCGAUGUCAGAUUAGGUAGUUGGUGGGGUAAAGGCUCACCAAGCCAACGAUCUGUAGCUGGUCUGAGAGGACGACCAGCCACACUGGGACUGAGACACGGCCCAGACUCCUACGGGAGGCAGCAGUGGGGAAUUUUGGACAAUGGGCGCAAGCCUGAUCCAGCAAUGCCGCGUGCAGGAAGAAGGCCUUCGGGUUGUAAACUGCUUUUGUACGGAACGAAACGGCCCUGGUUAAUACCCGGGGCUAAUGACGGUACCGUAAGAAUAAGCACCGGCUAACUACGUG